Molecule: ribosomal RNA, 253 nt
Filed under: uncultured bacterium
Lineage: Bacteria
Description: partial 16S ribosomal RNA
Rfam family: Bacterial small subunit ribosomal RNA
Source: RNAcentral
UACGGAGGAGGCAAGCGUUAUCCGGAAUUAUUGGGCGUAAAGCGUCCGCAGGUGGCUAUUCAAGUCUGCGGUCAAAGACUGGGGCUUAACCCUGGAAAGGCCGUGGAAACUGAAGAGCUAGAGUGCAGUAGGGGUAGAGGGAAUUCCCGGUGUAGCGGUGAAAUGCGUAGAGCUCGGGAAGAACAUCGGUGGCGAAAGCGCUCUGCUGGACUGCAACUGACACUCAGGGACGAAAGCUAGGGGAGCGAAUGGG